UUCUUGGGAAGCAUGUGGUGCAUUACAGCUUUGGUUUGGUUUGCAGUAGGUAUCUCAGGCAAUGGUCAGUCUCCAGCUAUCCACCAGAGCCCACAGUCAGUGGUGCAGGACAUUGGCAGCACCACUUCUCUGGAUUGUUCUCUGGAAGGAUAUUCCAACCCCAACCUCUACUGGUACAGGCUAAUCCCAGGAGGAGCAAUCGAACUCCUUUCCUAUUCAAUAAGCAAGGGAUCUGCAACAGAUGCUGGACUGACCCACAUCAAAGGGAUACGGCCCACUGAUGGCAGCUUCAACCUGGAAAUUGACAGCCUCACUACCAGCGACACUGGGACCUAUUACUGCGCCUGGAGUCACACACUGUACCAAGGGAGUGCAGCACCCUAACAAAAACCUUCCCUCUCUUUCUCCUUGAAAGUGAAGGAGCCCCACUUGCCUGCUGAGAGGCACCAAGCAGACCACAGGCCCAGGGUGCCUCCUUUGUGGCCUCAGUUGCCUUUCUUUCCAGUAAACACAAAGGGAACAGAAGCCACACGGGAGACUUCCUGGAUGUAUCAGGCAAUACAGCUGAACCUCAGUGUUCACUUUUGUCCUCUCAGACUAUCUGCAAGAGCCACUGUUUGGAACACCUUUAUAGGUGUCCACAAUCAAACUGCCAUAAAACUGUGCAAGCUUGUAAGAAUGUGUCCUCUUGAAUACUCUAACAAAACCU
Molecule: non-coding RNA, 709 nt
Organism: Anolis sagrei ordinatus
Lineage: Eukaryota; Metazoa; Chordata; Lepidosauria; Squamata; Anolidae
Source: the annotation of a RefSeq genome assembly